CAAAUACAUCUGGGGAGCUUAAUGCUGAGAGGGAUUUUAUCCGACCCAUAUGACCUGAUACAGUUAGUACUGUCGUAGGCAGAUAUUAUUUAUGUUGA
RNAcentral lists this non-coding RNA (98 nucleotides) under Clostridium sp. Its description in RNAcentral is "TPP sequence". It matches the Rfam family "TPP riboswitch aptamer (THI element)". From Rfam's summary of the family: Vitamin B(1) in its active form thiamin pyrophosphate (TPP) is an essential coenzyme that is synthesised by coupling of pyrimidine and thiazole moieties in bacteria. The previously detected thiamin-regulatory element, thi box was extended, resulting in a new, highly conserved RNA secondary structure, the THI element, which is widely distributed in eubacteria and also occurs in some archaea. Analysis of operon structures identified a large number of new candidate thiamin-regulated genes, mostly transporters, in various prokaryotic organisms. The record is from RNAcentral. Lineage: Bacteria; Bacillati; Bacillota; Clostridia; Eubacteriales; Clostridiaceae.